GAUGAACGCUGGCGGCGUGCCUAAUACAUGCAAGUCGAGCGAACGGACGAGAAGCUUGCUUUUCUGAUGUUAGCGGCGGACGGGUGAGUAACACGUGGAUAACCUACCUAUAAGACUGGGAUAACUUCGGGAAACCGGAGCUAAUACCGGAUAAUAUUUUGAACCGCAUGGUUCAAAAGUGAAAGACGGUCUUGCUGUCACUUAUAGAUGGAUCCGCGCUGCAUUAGCUAGUUGGUAAGGUAACGGCUUACCAAGGCAACGAUGCAUAGCCGACCUGAGAGGGUGAUCGGCCACCCUGGAACUGAGACACGGUCCAGACUCCUACGGGAGGCAGCAGUAGGGAAUCUUCCGCAAUGGGCGAAAGCCUGACGGAGCAACGCCGCGUGAGUGAUGGAGGUCUUCGGAUCGUAAAACUCUGUUAUUAGGGAAGAACAUAUGUGUAAGUAACUGUGCACAUCUUGACGGUACCUAAUCAGAAAGCCACGGCUAACUACGUG
Molecule: ribosomal RNA, 497 nt
Filed under: uncultured bacterium
Lineage: Bacteria
Description: partial 16S ribosomal RNA
Rfam family: Bacterial small subunit ribosomal RNA
Source: RNAcentral